GACGAACGCUGGCGGCGUGCUUAACACAUGCAAGUCGAACGGUAAGGCCCUUCGGGGUACACGAGUGGCGAACGGGUGAGUAACACGUGGGUGAUCUGCCCUGCACUUCGGGAUAAGCCUGGGAAAAUGGGUCUAAUACCGGAUAGGACCACUGCCUGCAUGGGUGGUGGUGGAGAGAUUUUGCGGUGUGGGAUGGGCCCGCGGCCUAUCAGCUUGUUGGUGGGGUGAUGGCCUACCAAGGCGACGACGGGUAGCCGGCCUGAGAGGGUGACCGGCCACACUGGGACUGAGAUACGGCCCAGACUCCUACGGGAGGCAGCAGUGGGGAAUAUUGCACAAUGGGCGCAAGCCUGAUGCAGCGACGCCGCGUGAGGGAUGACGGCCUUCGGGUUGUAAACCUCUUUCAGCACCGACGAAGCGCAAGUGGCGGUAGGUGCAGAAGAAGGACCGGCCAACUACGUGCCAGCAGCCGCAGUAA
Molecule: ribosomal RNA, 478 nt
Filed under: uncultured bacterium
Lineage: Bacteria
Description: partial 16S ribosomal RNA
Rfam family: Bacterial small subunit ribosomal RNA
Source: RNAcentral